Molecule: ribosomal RNA, 301 nt
Filed under: uncultured bacterium
Lineage: Bacteria
Description: partial 16S ribosomal RNA
Rfam family: Bacterial small subunit ribosomal RNA
Source: RNAcentral
CAGUCGCCGCGGGAACACGAAAGGGGCUAGCGUUGUUCGGAAUUACUGGGCGUAAAGGGCGCGUAGGCGGCCAUUCAAGUUAGAUGUGAAAGCCCUGGGCUCAACCUAGGAAUUGCCUUCAAUACUGGCGAUCUUGAGUAUGGAAGAGGUAUGUGGAACUCCGAGUGUAGAGGUGAAAUUCGUAGAUAUUCGGAAGAACACCAGUGGCGAAGGCGACAUACUGGUCCAUUACUGACGCUGAGGCUCGAAAGCGUGGGGAGCAAACAGGAUUAGAUACCUCAGUAGUCCCUGUCUCUUAUAA